UCUGCAGUGAGCUUGAUCCAGCAUCCUCAGCGCUGCCGCCAGUCCCACAAAGCACAGAGUGUGGUGGUGCUGGUGGUCCUGGUCCAGCAAAGAUGGACCUCCUCUCCCCUGUGAUGAAGAGCUAAUCACUCUGCCUCCCUGCUCCUGCAGCAACAGCAGCGGGAUGCUUUGCCAGCAGGUGACUGCUCAGGUGUGUGGCAGAAGAGAGGAACAGACGAGCUCUGUGGCUGCUCUGGGUCCAGCAGAGCCAGGCCAGGAUGGAGGAUCAGGCCAUGCUGGUUCCUCGAGGCUGGAGCCCAAGUGCUCUGAAAACACCAGAGCCCUGAGCAAUGAGUGUGUGUGGCAGGUCUGUACACAUAUUUCCUUCUGUGAAGUAAUGGGAUGAAACAGAGGAAAUAAGGCUGUUUGUGGAAACGAGCACAGGCUUCAUCCUUUGAGGGUCUGCAACAUCCUGACUCCUCCUCACUUACUUCAAGGUUUCUGUUUUCUUGGGAUCAAUGCAGGAAUGUUGCAUGUUCAUGACAGCCCGUUGCACCAGAGGUUGGUGGACCCUGGUGUGAUGCCUACAGCUGAGCACACUGGAUCAUCAGCACAGCCUCAUCACAACCUCCGGUGCCCAAAUGGUGCCUCUGUCCCACAGCCAGGCCCUGAAACCAGGAGGUGACUAGCUAAGGGUUGGAAGGAAGUGUUCGGCACGGCCUCUGUUAAGCGCCCCUUCAGAACAAGCGCGGCUGCGUCGAUGAGGAGUGCAGAUAAUCACAGCUGUCAGUUGGAUGAUCAGCUAAAGAUGGUGCUGAAGCCUCCAGCCAGCAACACCCAGGACUCUGCUGAGGUUUUGUCCGACUUCGCUUAAUGAGAUCAGUGUCUCCUGAACCGGGCCCUUGUGAGUUCAGUGGAAACGCUCCAGUUGUUUCACGUGGGAACGUGUUGUUUUCUCCAUUAAAGCAGAAAUCCUGUUUCUUCCAGGGCACAUGACUCAGCUGUGAGCAGACAGCAUCACCUCCCGUGGGCUCAUUCCCACUCCUGACUGCAGCCACCUGGAUAAAGCAGUCCCUUCCCAGGCAGUUCAGGCACUACGGGUGCGAAUGGAAAGCGCUAUUUAAACAGGAGCUGCGUCUCAGUGCGUCCGGGAUCACCAUCAGCGCAGGCAGCCUGCAAGGGCUACGUUCCUCCGAAGGGAUGUCAGUGCAAGGCACGGCUCGAAUUCCUUGGGCUGCGGAUCCUCUUAGAAGGUCUUAAUAAAUGAUUAGGCUAAGUGUAUGAUAAAUAUGUAAUAGAUCAUUUUGUGCCUGUCAGCGGAAUGCAUUGGCUUGCUUCUAGUCAGUGUUUGUUGCAAGGUGAUUUUAUCUUGAGCACUAUGAUUAAAUGAAAUAGUUGCCAGCCAGGUUUUACUCUUUGUAAGUGAAAUAUGUGGUAUAAAGUGUGACCAAACCUGUAGAGAUUAAUUUAACUAAUGCCUGCUGUCAUCAUCAGCCCAAACCAUUCUCUGACAUGAGGUUGGUCAAGCUGGAUUUGGCCAUUUUAUGUCAUCCCAGCCCUGGCUUAGCUCCUGUCUCAUCUUCCUGCAGGACUUCAAAGCCAUGUGUGAUCCAUGCACAGCUUUGAGGCUGUGGCACCCAAGCUGCUGCUUCGAACUGAGACAUCCAGCGCAGCACCCCAGUGAACCGGUGGCAUCCAUGGGGAGACAGGAAAACAAAGUGAUAAUCCACUUUCUAAUUACCGUCCAGCCUCUCCCACCUCCCACCCAUGGCUUCUGCAGUCUGGUGAUUAACUUAAUGACAGUCCCAGCUCCAGCAGUCAGUCCAGCCCCGGAGCAGAAGUCUUGCCAGGAACGUCUUGCCCUGUGUGUCCUGUCUGGGUUCAGACCAAGACCACGGACACGUACACGAGCAGCGCUGGCUGCAGCAGCAAAUCCCAUUGCCUCAUGUGGGGGAUUUAAGCGCUAACUCCCAGUGCACAGUGCAAGCCAGAUGUGUGGGACCUGCUGUAUGGAAAGAACACACUGGAUGGAGAAUGGCAAAAGCUCAGCCAAGGAUGGGCAGGAGGAUGUAUUGGACCCAGGAGACACCUUCGGGCUUUGCAGUAGAGGCAAUUGCCUGAUUAUCAUCUUCAUUUUAAGACACCGCUCACAAUGUUCACUGCUGAGGCUGCAGCUCUUCCCAGAUAUGAGGGCCUGAGCAAAGACCAUGGGCCUUGGGUCCCGCUGCCAGGGCAGAGAUGUGGCUAUAACCAUUUUUACAAGUGCCCUUUCCCCAUCACAGGCUCACACUGAGGCGGAUAUAAAGCAUCGUCCUUUCUCCUGUGCUCCGCUGCAGUGCUGCCUCCCAGCAUCUCGCUUGUGUGGACCACUGAGCUGGCUGGAAGCAGCCACUGAUACGUGCCACUAAUGACACCAUCCUCAUGGUCUCGUCUCUGGUACGCAAGGAGGAUGAGGACCCAGGGAUGAUGCACCGGGUGCAGGGCUGGAGAAAAUGCCUUCCAGUGUAAAACUGCGGUGCAGAGGAGCAUGCAAGGAGAGGUUCAGAUGAAAGAUUGGAGCAAGGCAAGCUCAAAGCUGGAUCUAGCUCUGGGGUCUCCAAGACAAGAGGGACGUGGAGCUGCUGGAGCGAGUCCAGAGGAGGCCAUGGAGCUGCUGCGAGGGCUGGAGC
Strigops habroptila (Kakapo) is the source of this 2648-nucleotide long non-coding RNA. RefSeq lists it as uncharacterized. NCBI's taxonomy places the organism in Eukaryota, Metazoa, Chordata, Aves, Psittaciformes, Psittacidae. The record is from RefSeq and is a predicted model, not a curated record. The transcript has 8 exons.